UAGCUCAGUUGGUAGAGCACGUGACUGAAAAUCACGGUGUCGGCAGUUCAAUUCUG
This 56-nucleotide transfer RNA is filed under the name Deltaproteobacteria bacterium. Its description in RNAcentral is "tRNA-Phe". It matches the Rfam family "tRNA", at positions 8 to 61 of the family's 71-position model. Rfam says of the family: Transfer RNA (tRNA) molecules are approximately 80 nucleotides in length. Lineage: Bacteria; Pseudomonadati; Myxococcota; Myxococcia. The record is from RNAcentral.